UAGGGAAUCUUCCACAAUGGGCGAAAGCCUGAUGGAGCAACGCCGCGUGCAGGAUGAAUGCCUUCGGGUUGUAAACUGCUUUUAUAAGUGAGGAUUUUGACAGUAACUUAUGAAUAAGGAUCGGCUAACUCCGUGCCAGCAGCCGCGGUCAUACGGAGGAUCCAAGUGUUAUUCGGAAUGACUGGGCGUAAAGAGUUGCGUAGGCGGCAAUGUAAGCGUGUAGUGAAAUCUUGUGGCUCAACCAUAAGAC
Molecule: ribosomal RNA, 250 nt
Filed under: uncultured bacterium
Lineage: Bacteria
Description: partial 16S ribosomal RNA
Rfam family: Bacterial small subunit ribosomal RNA
Source: RNAcentral